Molecule: ribosomal RNA, 253 nt
Filed under: uncultured bacterium
Lineage: Bacteria
Description: partial 16S ribosomal RNA
Rfam family: Bacterial small subunit ribosomal RNA
Source: RNAcentral
UACGUAGGGACCAAGCGUUGUUCGGAUUUACUGGGCGUAAAGGGCUCGUAGGCGGUCUGUCGCGUCGGGAGUGAAAACUCAGGGCUUAACCCUGAGCCUGCUUCCGAUACGGGCAGACUAGAGGUAUGCAGGGGAGAACGGAAUUCCUGGUGUAGCGGUGGAAUGCGCAGAUAUCAGGAGGAACACCGGUGGCGAAGGCGGUUCUCUGGGCAUUACCUGACGCUGAGGAGCGAAAGUGUGGGGAGCGAACAGG